Molecule: ribosomal RNA, 253 nt
Filed under: uncultured bacterium
Lineage: Bacteria
Description: partial 16S ribosomal RNA
Rfam family: Bacterial small subunit ribosomal RNA
Source: RNAcentral
UACGAAGGGCCCGAGCGUUGCGCGGAAUCACUGGGCUUAAAGCGUACGUAGGCGGGCGUGCAGGCACUUUGUGAAAUCCCCCGGCUCAACCGGGGAAUUGCUUGGUGAACCGCACGUCUUGAGACAAGUAGGGGCUGUCGGAACGAUAGGUGGAGCGGUGAAAUGCGUUGAUAUCUAUCGGAACGCCGAAGGUGAAGACAGGCAGCUGGGCUUGUUCUGACGCUCAGGUACGAAAGCGUGGGGAGCGAACGGG